This 402-nucleotide ribosomal RNA is filed under the name uncultured Bacilli bacterium. Its description in RNAcentral is "bacterial SSU rRNA". It matches the Rfam family "Bacterial small subunit ribosomal RNA", at positions 65 to 456 of the family's 1533-position model. Lineage: Bacteria; Bacillati; Bacillota; Bacilli. The record is from RNAcentral.
AGCGGACCGACGGGAGCUUGCUCCCUUGGGUCAGCGGCGGACGGGUGAGUAACACGUGGGUAACCUGCCUGUAAGACUGGGAUAACUCCGGGAAACCGGGGCUAAUACCGGAUGCUUGAUUGAACCGCAUGGUUCAAUCAUAAAAGGUGGCUUUCAGCUACCACUUACAGAUGGACCCGCGGCGCAUUAGCUAGUUGGUGAGGUAACGGCUCACCAAGGCGACGAUGCGUAGCCGACCUGAGAGGGUGAUCGGCCACACUGGGACUGAGACACGGCCCAGACUCCUACGGGAGGCAGCAGUAGGGAAUCUUCCGCAAUGGACGAAAGUCUGACGGAGCAACGCCGCGUGAGUGAUGAAGGUUUUCGGAUCGUAACACUCUGUUGUUAGGGAAGAACAAGUAC